RNA transcript from Papilio polytes (common Mormon), 1296 nucleotides. It is a transcript of the gene named beta-ureidopropionase pseudogene, with no coding region annotated. Lineage: Eukaryota; Metazoa; Arthropoda; Insecta; Lepidoptera; Papilionidae. The record is from RefSeq and is a predicted model, not a curated record. The transcript has a single exon.
AGAAUCAACAUCAGUCUUACACGACAGACCCUCGGUGACGGACGCCAUUAAAAUGGAAAACGAAACUGUCAGCCUCGAAGCUAUAAUUGACAAUAAUCUGACAGGCCGGGACCUGCAGGAGUUCAACAGAAUAUAUUACGGCAGAAGGGACCACAAUGAAUUGAAACUCAAAGAUUCAUCUAUCGCUGCGGCCAAGGAGGCGGACUUCGAAAUCGCAGCGUACGGUUUUCCAGCUAAAAAGGAACAUACGAGGCCACCGAGAAUAGUCAAGGUAGGGCUUAUCCAACAUUCCAUAGCCGCGCCCACUGAUCGCCCGGUCAACGAGCAGAAGAAUGCUUUAUUCGCAAAGGUUAAGAAGAUUAUUGACGUCGCCGGACAAGAGGGCGUCAAUAUAAUUUGCUUCCAUGAAUUAUGGAACAUGCCCUUCGCUUUUUGUACUCGGGAAAAGCAGCCAUGGUGCGAAUUCGCUGAGUCCGCUGAAGAAGGUCCCACGACUCGCUUCUUAAAGGAGUUGGCUGUUAAAUACGCGAUGGUCAUCGUCUCGUCUAUCCUCGAACGUGACGAGAAGCACAGCGACAUCUUGUGGAACACGACCGUCGUGAUCAGCGACACUGGCAACGUGAUCGGUAAACAUCGCAAGAAUCACAUCCCGAGAGUGGGAGAUUUUAACGAAUCCAAUUACUACAUGGAAGGUAACACUGGUCAUCCAGUAUUCGCGACUCGCUACGGUAAAAUCGCUGUUAACAUCUGCUUCGGCCGUCACCAUGUUCUUAACUGGAUGAUGUACGGCCUCAAUGGGGCUGAGAUCGUCUUCAACCCAUCUUGUACAGUCGCCGGUGAAGCGGGCAGUGAGUACAUGUGGAAUAUAGAAGCGCGGAACGCUGCGAUCACCAACUGCUACUUCACGGCCGCUAUAAACAGAGUUGGGUACGAAGAGUUCCCGAAUGAAUUCACCUCAGCCGAUGGUAAGCCAGCGCACAAAGAUCUGGGUCUGUUCUACGGGUCAAGUUACUUCUGUGGUCCGGAUGGCGUCCGAUGUCCGGGACUAUCCCGAACUAAAGACGGUCUUCUCAUCGCUUCUAUGGAUUUGAACAUGAACAGACAGAUAAGAGACCGUCGCUGUUACUAUAUGACGCAAAGACUCGACAUGUACGCGGACAGCCUGAGGAAGGUUCUCGACUUGGAUUACAAGCCACAGGUCGUACAUGAAAAUGACAAGUGAAGAGGCUUUUGUAAUAAUUUUUAAGCUUUCAUUAUUAACCAUUUUAUUCAGUUCAAUAAACAAUUUAUAAAUUA